Cornus florida is the source of this 1201-nucleotide long non-coding RNA. RefSeq lists it as uncharacterized. The transcript is spliced from 2 exons. Lineage: Eukaryota; Viridiplantae; Streptophyta; Magnoliopsida; Cornales; Cornaceae. The record is from RefSeq and is a predicted model, not a curated record.
UAUAUUUUAAUUCCUAACUCGGUCACUAUAUUUAGCCCCUUUCCAAACAAAACCCUUGCCGUCAAUUACCAUGUACAUCUCUUGCAGACGAAAGCCACCGUCAAACCAAAGCUCUCAAAUCUCACAUCGCCGGCAACUGAAAAACAAGGAUCGUUGGCGACCUUCUAUUAACAAUACUUUAUCAACACCGAACUAGUGAAAGAUUAGCUCUCUCUUAUCUUUUCUUUUGAUGGAGAUCGAUGUGAAGAUAUGUGUAUAUAUGCAUAACAUAUACAAAGAUGGAGUAUUGUUGAGAGAAGAUCGAUGUGAAGUGCGGCUGUCUCCGGGUGGGUCGUUUCAUAAGGCUUCCUGUCGCCCUUGAAGUUGAGCCGAGUUCAAACACUAAAGCGGAGAUUCGAGCUCGAGCCGACCUCGAACACUCCAGCUGCAGAUGGAGCCGAGCUCAAACAGCCCACUACUUAGCUUGGCUCGGCUCAAUUGCAGCCUACACACAGUUACUUUUCAUUCUCCCUAGUUUUAUAUUUAAUAUAUUGAGAAAAUUAUAUAUAAAUGGAGUUAAAGUUCCAUAUUUACUUAGAGGUUAAGUCAAAGUUCCAUAUUUCUCUAAAAUGGAUUGCUGAGGUGGCACAUGGUUUUUUACUGUUUAGAAAUUGUGGUGCCUAAAAUACCCUUUCGCGAAGGUACUACUUUUUCUUCGAAGGUACUACUUUUUUGAACUGAAGGUACUACUUUUUGGUGUCCAGGUACCAUGUUUUUUAAACACCCGCGAAGGUACUACUUUUUCUUUGAAGGUACUACUUUUUUGAACUGAAGGUACUACUUUUUUGUUAGGCAAGGGCAUUUUAGGCACCACAAUUUUCUAAACAGUAAAAAAUCAUGUGCCACCUCAACAAUCCAUUUUAGAGAAAUAUGGAACUUUGACUCAGUCUCUAAGUAAAUAUGAAACUUUAACUCCAUUUAUAUGUAAUUUUCCCUAAUAUAUUUACGUUUUCAUGCCUCCUUUAUUUAAAUAUUUGUUGGUAAUCUUUUGAUGCAUUGUUUACUUUCUCCAGAUUUGUACUUUAUUUUAUUUGUACCAUAGGUUUAGCCUCUUGCACCUUUACUUUCGUGUAGUUUCUUUUAGGCCUAAUUUGGUAGGCAAUAAUGAAAUAGAAUGGAAUGGAAUGAGAAUGUGAAUGGAAUAAAAUGGUAUUUUUAUUGU